Molecule: ribosomal RNA, 573 nt
Filed under: uncultured bacterium
Lineage: Bacteria
Description: partial 16S ribosomal RNA
Rfam family: Bacterial small subunit ribosomal RNA
Source: RNAcentral
UGAGGAAUAUUGGUCAAUGGGCGAGAGCCUGAACCAGCCAAGUCGCGUGAAGGAAGACUGCCUUAUGGGUUGUAAACUUCUUUUAUACAGGAAUAAAAAGGCUUACGUGUAGGCCAUUGCAAGUACUGUAUGAAUAAGCAUCGGCUAACUCCGUGCCAGCAGCCGCGGUAAUACGGAGGAUGCGAGCGUUAUCCGGAUUUAUUGGGUUUAAAGGGUGCGCAGGCGGGCUUUUAAGUCAGCGGUGAAAUCUGGACGCUUAACGUCCAAACUGCCGUUGAAACUGGGAGUCUUGAGUAUGGAUGAAGUAGGCGGAAUCCGUUGUGUAGCGGUGACAUGCAUAGAUAUAACGAGGAACUCCGAUUGCGUAGGCAGCUUACUAAGCCAUAACUGACGCUCAUGCACGAAAGCGUGGGGAUCAAACAGGAUUAGAUACCCUGGUAGUCCACGCCGUAAAACGAUGAUUACUAGUUGUAUGCGAUAUGAUAGUAUGUGACUAAGCGAAAAGCGAUAAGUAAUCCACCUGGGGAGUACGCCGGCAACGGUGAAACUCAAAGGAAUUGACGGGGUCAUAGC